Molecule: non-coding RNA, 298 nt
Organism: Pogona vitticeps (central bearded dragon)
Lineage: Eukaryota; Metazoa; Chordata; Lepidosauria; Squamata; Agamidae
Source: RefSeq, a predicted model, not a curated record
UUUGCAUGUUAAAAAAAACAAUUCUAAUCCUUACCUUUCCUUUCUCUUGACCUCCCUGGCUUGAUCUUUCUUCAGUAACUCUGCAAGAUGUACAGAUCAAGACAAUCUUGGAAUCCAAGGAGAAAUUGCACAAGGAAAAUGUCAAUUUAAGGAAAGUCUUGGAACAACAUCCAUUGUUGUUUUGCUUCCAUAAUGGGAAGAUUUUGAAGAUCUUCCCCCAAGAGAGGGAGCCAAUCUGGGCACUCAACAUCAAGCGAGGUAUUCUCAGUGUUUUCCAGACAUCUUUGGUGGCAGCAGU